Molecule: ribosomal RNA, 400 nt
Filed under: uncultured bacterium
Lineage: Bacteria
Description: bacterial SSU rRNA
Rfam family: Bacterial small subunit ribosomal RNA
Source: RNAcentral
GACGAACGCUGGCGGCGUGCUUAACACAUGCAAGUGGAGCGACGAACCAGGCUUCGGCCUGGGGCAGAGCCGCGAACGGGUGAGUAACACGUGGGUAACCUGCCCCGAUGACUGGGACAACCCGAGGAAACUCGGGCUAAUACCGGAUGUGCUGCUCUCGCUCAAGUGAGAGUAGGAAAGGAAGCUUCGGCCUCCGCAUCGGGAUGGGCCCGCGGCCCAUUAGCUGUCGGUGAGGUAACGGCUCACCAAGGCUUCGAUGGGUAGCUGGUCUGAGAGGACGAUCAGCCACACUGGGACUGAGACACGGCCCAGACUCCUACGGGAGGCAGCAGUGGGGAAUCUUGCGCAAUGCGCGAAAGCGUGACGCAGCAACGCCGCGUGGGGGAAGACGGCCUCGGUU